RNAcentral lists this ribosomal RNA (282 nucleotides) under uncultured bacterium. RNAcentral describes it as "partial 16S ribosomal RNA". It matches the Rfam family "Bacterial small subunit ribosomal RNA", at positions 146 to 435 of the family's 1533-position model. The record is from RNAcentral.
CCGUGGCGAAAGCUACGCUAAUNCCGCAUACGUUCUACGGAAGAAAGUGGGGGAUCGCAAGGCCUCAUGCUUUUGGAUCGGCCGAUGUCUGAUUAGCUAGUUGGUGAGGUAAAGGCUCCCAAGGCGUCGAUCUGUAGCUGGUCUGAGGGCGACCAGCCACUCUGGUACUGAGCCGGUCCAGACUCCUACGGGAGGCAGCAGUGGGGAAUUUUGGGCGAUGGGCGCAAGCCUGAUCCAGCAAUGCCGCGUGAGUGAAGAAGGCCUUCGGGUUGUAAAGCUCUU